This 253-nucleotide ribosomal RNA is filed under the name uncultured bacterium. RNAcentral describes it as "partial 16S ribosomal RNA". It matches the Rfam family "Bacterial small subunit ribosomal RNA", at positions 524 to 776 of the family's 1533-position model. The record is from RNAcentral.
UACGGGGGGUGCGAGCGUUGUCCGGAAUCACUGGGCGUAAAGGGCGCGUAGGUGGUUUGAUAAGGGUGUGGUGAAAGUCCGGGGCUCAACCCCGGAUCUGCCGUGCCGACUGUCAAACUCGAGGACUGUAGAGGCAGACGGAAUUCCGGGUGUAGCGGUGGAAUGCGUAGAGAUCCGGAGGAAGACCGGUGGCGAAGGCGGUCUGCUGGGCAGUAACUGACGCUGAGGAGCGAAAGCGUGGGGAGCGAACAGG